ACUCAGGUGUUGUUGGGUAGGGGAGCGUUCUGUAAGCCUGCGAAGGUGGCCUGUGAGGGUUGCUGGAGGUAUCAGAAGUGCGAAUGCUGACAUAAGUAACGAUAAAGCGGGUGAAAAGCCCGCUCGCCGGAAGACCAAGGGUUCCUGUCCAACGUUAAUCGGGGCAGGGUGAGUCGACCCCUAAGGCGAGGCCGAAAGGCGUAGUCGAUGGGAAACGGGUUAAUAUUCCCGUACUUGGUGUUACUGCGAAGGGGGGACGGAGAAGGCUAUGUUGGCCGGGCGACGGUUGUCCCGGUUUAAGCGUGUAGGUGUGUGUUCCAGGUAAAUCCGGUUCACUUUAACACUGAGGCGUGAUGACGAGGCACUACGGUGCUGAAGCAACAAAUGCCCUGCUUCCAGGAAAAGCCUCUAAGCAUCAGGUAACAUCAAAUCGUACCCCAAACCGACACAGGUGGUCAGGUAGAGAAUACCAAGGCGCUUGAGAGAACUCGGGUGAAGGAACUAGGCAAAAUGGUGCCGUAACUUCGGGAGAAGGCACGCUGACAC
RNAcentral lists this ribosomal RNA (546 nucleotides) under Salmonella enterica subsp. enterica serovar Agona. Its description in RNAcentral is "partial 23S ribosomal RNA". It matches the Rfam family "Bacterial large subunit ribosomal RNA", at positions 1211 to 1757 of the family's 2925-position model. Lineage: Bacteria; Pseudomonadati; Pseudomonadota; Gammaproteobacteria; Enterobacterales; Enterobacteriaceae. The record is from RNAcentral.